CCGUUAACGAACGAGACCUCGACCUGCUAAAUAGUUGGGCAAAUCCUUCGGGAUUUGUACUACGCAACUUCUUAGAGGGACUAUCGGCGAUUUAGCCGAUGGAAGUUCGAGGCAAUAACAGGUCUGUGAUGCCCUUAGAUGUUCUGGGCCGCACGCGCGCUACACUGAUACGAUCAUCGAGCUUACAACCUUGGUUGAGAGGCCUGGGUAAUCUUGUUAAACCGUAUCGUGCUGGGGAUAGAUUAUUGUAAUUUUUAAUCUUCAACGAGGAAUUCCUAGUAAACGCUGGUCAUCAGCCAGCAUUGAUUACGUCCCUGCCCUUUGUACACACCGCCCGUCGCUAAUACCGAUUGAAUGGAUA
Molecule: ribosomal RNA, 361 nt
Filed under: Eukaryota sp.
Lineage: Eukaryota
Description: SSU rRNA
Rfam family: Eukaryotic small subunit ribosomal RNA
Source: RNAcentral